UGGCGAACGGGUGAGUAAUACAUAAGCAACCUGCCCACGAAGACUGGGAUAAUCUCUGGAAACGGGGACUAAUACCGGAUAGGUAAUCGGAAGGCAUCUUCUGAUUAUUAAAGGUUAAAAAACACUGGUGGAUGGGCUUAUGGCGCAUUAGUUAGUUGGUGAGGUAACGGCCCACCAAGACGAUGAUGCGUAGCCGGCCUGAGAGGGUGAACGGCCACAUUGGGACUGAGACACGGCCCAG
Molecule: ribosomal RNA, 241 nt
Filed under: uncultured bacterium
Lineage: Bacteria
Description: partial 16S ribosomal RNA
Rfam family: Bacterial small subunit ribosomal RNA
Source: RNAcentral